UCGGGUAAAGACAAAAUUUAGGCAGGAGGGGAAGGAGCGGGUGAAGGUGGUGGUGGUGGUGGUGGUGGUGGAGCAGAGGGGAGGGAGGGUGGUGGAGGCGGUGGCGGGUCGAGGUCGGGAUCGAGGCUAGAGCGGCGGCGGCCCGGGGCCUAGGGCGGGGCGCUGCUCUGCGCGGGGCCGGAGGACCAGGACCCGUGCUGCGAGGGAGGAGGGCGAGGCGGAACGCAUUUCCACCGUCGUAACCCCCCUGUUAAAACAAGAGUGGGACAAACCAUGCACCGUGCAUCAAAACCGCAAGACUUCAUAUACAACCGCCUCCCAUAUUAGGCCUAUAUAAUGAGAACUAAGACGUUACCGUUCCUCUACUUUCAUGGCGCCCACACCGUCGCCCCGUCGUUCCUGUACUGUCGGUACGGUGUAGGCGCGGUGGCGUGACGGUUCUUCGGGUACACCUAUUAACACGAUGACAGUUAACAAACACAAAGCAACUAACCCCGAAUACAGAUAGGAGGUGCCGCGAUGAGCUGGACAAUGAAGAAACGAAGUUCACAAACAUGAGGGAAGUUCCUAACCGAGGGACGACACUGGGCCGCCCUCGGCUGGCUAGUUCUCCAAAAAAGCAGACACCAAUAGUCCCUAAACGAAAGUUACGGAUACGGGCAGAGGUUCUUCGGUUUCUAACGUAAAUACAAGAACUGUGGACCAAGUAACGGGAAGCUCUUUAACACCCUCUUAAAAAACGUCCCGGUACUCCCUGCUAUAAGGUAGAUAUAGGUACGUAGAGCACUUUUCGGACACGUAAGAUCAGGAAACAAACACCCGGCUCUUUAAGCGUCACUUUUCCAUCAUACCCCGUCCCAAAGUUACCAACUACGUCUCUUUUCCGACAAUCCUUUACGUAACGAUCUGUAACUAUUAGUUAAAAAGCAGAACGAAAGACUGUCGACAUAAGGUGAUGUAUGUAAACUAAUGUAGAUAUUAAUAGACUACCCUUGUUUACAAUCGAAGUAACUGUCAAAGGACCUAGGACCAGGAGUACCUUCACCUUCCAUAAGAUAUCUUUACAAAGGACUUUAUCUCGUGUCCCUGAAGUCCUUCCCACGCGUCACCAAACGAUAUUGUUCUUCCGUACGAUAUGACUAUUACCGUCUGUUGGAGAUGAUGGCAUUUAAGUUCGAUAUAACGUUCGGUUGUCACCCUGCCUUGACAUAGCGACUACUCGUGAUAAACGGUUGGAACAAGUUUUAUCAUCUAGGACCACCCUAGAGAUUAAUAAGUCACUGUGUACAACUGACCAGACUCCCCUUUACCGUAGGCUCCAGGAUAUCUCGACGACUAUAAUGGAUACUUGAGAAUUCUUUGUAUUGCAUAAAGUUACUCUAACACGUGUAACGUUCACUACUCAGACAUUCGUAUUGAUAAGGAUGAAUAGCGGGUUAGUGUUAUAUACUAAAAAGACAAUGAUCCUGAACCACUAUUAAUCAACUAACAACACUAGAUCAUGAACGGAAACUUACGGACUUCUAUAAAAAGCAAAACUUAAAAACGUAAGUACAUGAUCCUUAGAUUGAUUUUGUAUGGAACGUACACUAAUGAUAAAUACCUACAUAAAAAAGGCUUUUCCUCCCCUUUGGGGACCGGAGACGUAGCCAACUACGUUCGUCGGUAGAUAACAACGUAUCAAAGUCGUACGUAUGUUCAGUAUGUUCUCAUGUUUUCUGAUCGUGUUGGUCAACCAUUAUUCUAAUGUGCAAAGGGAAUACGGAGUGAUUAGGAUAAUGGUCUGGCGAUAGGUUACCUGUAGUUCUAUAACACAAGCACAGUAGUCGUCAGUAAGACUUCUUGAGGUAAGGUUAUCAAGUCGCUUUAAAGAUCUACGUUUAUCAGCACAACAUCGUAACUACACUUACUAAAAUGUAUAAAGAAAUAGAUAUAACGUCUCUUGACACUGUAGCUGGGGUACAUAUAACUUGCCUUCUUUCUCUGGCACGAAGGAAAAACGUUCUUUUAAAAUGGGUCUACGACAGUUGUUAGAUGACUUCGAUAAAGGGUCAAUGUGUAGACGAACUUAAGAUGUGCUAAGAAACGGUAACCGGAUCCUAAGGGGAUCCUAAAAAAGAAAAUACAUUUAAAACGUUAACUAUGAAUCGAAGAAUUGUCUCUAGGUCCCGGUCUCUGUACAGCAACGACAUCGUUGAUAUUGCUGUGUGACAGUAAGACCCUGGGAUCCAUCCCGACUACAAUAUAGAUAAAUCAUAUACCUGUGACGGGAGUAACAUUAGGUGACACGGAACACGUACAAAGACAAUCGACAGGUAAAGUAGAAAAAAAGAGUAAGGACAUAAAGAUUGAAAGCGAAAGGAUCAAAGGAUCGAGGGUAGAGAACUCUUUGUCCUCAAAACAGGUCAAGUCGACAAUGAUAUGGGUAGGAAAAACCUGUGUCUAAUACUUUACUCUCGUCGGAAUAUCAGAUCGAACGAGUCAAAACGGCUGUACAGAUAUAAAGAUUAGAGAAACAAAAGGUCUAUGUG
Molecule: ribosomal RNA, 2531 nt
Filed under: Triticum aestivum (bread wheat)
Lineage: Eukaryota; Viridiplantae; Streptophyta; Magnoliopsida; Poales; Poaceae
Description: partial small subunit ribosomal RNA
Source: RNAcentral